This 29-nucleotide small RNA is filed under the name Bombyx mori (domestic silkworm). RNAcentral's name for it is "ovarian small RNA-25165". The record is from RNAcentral. Lineage: Eukaryota; Metazoa; Arthropoda; Insecta; Lepidoptera; Bombycidae.
UCACCGGGGUCCACUCGUAAGGAUGAUGU